GACAGAGGGUGCAAACGUUGCUCGGAAUUACUGGGCGUAAAGCGCGUGUAGGCGGACCAGCAAGUCGGACGUGAAAUCCCUGAGCUCAACUCAGGAACUGCAUCCGAAACUGCUGGUCUGGAGUGGUGGAGAGGGAAGCAGAAUUCCUGGUGUAGAGGUGAAAUUCGUAGAUAUCAGGAGGAACACCGGUGGCGAAGGCGGCUUCCUGGACACUUACUGACGCUGAGACGCGAAAGCGUGGGGAG
RNAcentral lists this ribosomal RNA (245 nucleotides) under uncultured bacterium. Its description in RNAcentral is "partial 16S ribosomal RNA". It matches the Rfam family "Bacterial small subunit ribosomal RNA", at positions 524 to 768 of the family's 1533-position model. The record is from RNAcentral.